AGUGACUAAUAAAGAGCUUGC
RNAcentral lists this microRNA (21 nucleotides) under Monodelphis domestica (gray short-tailed opossum). RNAcentral describes it as "Mdo-Mir-7373-P20-v2_3p (mature (guide))". Lineage: Eukaryota; Metazoa; Chordata; Mammalia; Didelphimorphia; Didelphidae. The record is from RNAcentral.